Molecule: long non-coding RNA, 2126 nt
Organism: Panicum virgatum (switchgrass)
Lineage: Eukaryota; Viridiplantae; Streptophyta; Magnoliopsida; Poales; Poaceae
Exons: 9
Source: RefSeq, a predicted model, not a curated record
CUCAAGCUUCCCAUCCGAGCGAGAGGAGCAGCGGCGGAGAGAAGCCUGAGCCCUGAGCUCGAUACCGUGUGUGAUCGGCCGUCGCGCCCUCCUUCGUCGGGGCGUGGAGCACCUCCAGGGCAGAUGCGAAUAAUUUCAAUGAAAAAUCCACCAUCAAAGACAUGAUAUGCUUCGGGACAGACACAAAAAAGCUCAAUGAAAAUUCCACCAUCACAAGAACUGACCUUGAAUUGUCUGAAAUCAAAAUGAAGAAGGAACUGGAGAUUAUUCGAAUGACUAUGGAGAAUAGAAUCGAUUCGGUCAUGAUCAGAAUGAAGUUUGACCUGAAAAAAGAUAUUGGUGAUAUUGAUGUGAAGUACUACAAGGAUACUUGCAAUUUGAAGAACGAGCUUUCUCUGAUCAGAAAAGACUUUCAAGUACAUGAAUUGGAGACUAAAUAAGAAAAAGAAUGAUUAUUUAUCUGCGCAGUUAUGUUUGGAUCGUUCAUUGUAAACAAUUCUGAUGCUGUAUAUUACUUGGGAACCCCUUUUUUUUCAAGCUGGCCAUAAGCAAAACUAUCACAGAUCGGCUCAAAAUGUACCAAAUGAGUGGUUGGGAUCAUCACUGAUGUCGUUGCAAAGGUAGCAACCUGGAAGAAACAAGGAUAGAUUCAUGAGAAGUCUUCGAAACUUUCAGCACUCGUUAAAGUGAUAGUGAACUUCUAUGUGUUUGGUACUUGCAUGAAAGACAAGAUUUUCUACCAAACGAAUGGAAGAUAGAUUGUCACAGAAAAUCCUUACUUGGUAUUCUGUUGGCUGGUGAAGAUCCUCCAUCAACUGCUUGAGCCAGGCUACAAGAGUCCAAUGCUCCCAUGCAGCUAAAACAAUCUGGCCAGUGAAGCGGACUCUUUCAUCCAGUUCAUUCAACAAGCACAAGAUUUCAUCGAAAGCUGAGAUGCCACUUCGGCGAAUUAGUGUAUUAGAGUCAGUAAUAUUCAGUUGUGCUCUCUUGAUAGAGAUUUUGGAUGAAUUUAUCUAUUGAGUUGAACCAUGAUUGCUUUCACAUGUGAAUGUUGCUUCAUUUUUUAAAUACACUUAAGUGAUCGUUAAAAUUGCCCAAUGUGUAUUUCUUUCAGUGGUUGUAGUUUAGGUUUAUCUUGUUGAGCGUCAUCUGUCAGACUACCCCAACUUGCUUGAGAAUUUAAGUCAGGUCAACGUGGAAAUAUUAAACAUCUUUAUUACACAUUCUAUUAUUCUCCAAUUGAACUUUAGUAUUAGGUACUAUCUCAUCAAGUUUAACAUCAUACACAUCUUGUGAAGAAAUCAAAGUUAUUGGCACCUGAUGAGAAAACAUUGAACAUCACCAUGUUACUGUUAAAAAUGUCACUUUUGAAAAGAAAAACAUGAUGCCUAUGUUUUCCGGUUUCAUUAAUGAAAACAUAAGCCCAUUAUUUUGCCUUUUAAACUGGGUAACUUAGCCAAAACUUAUGUAGUUUUUUUAAAAUGGUUUAGUAAAAAUUCUAAUCAUUUCAUUUGUUCUUGUGAAAUGGUUUUUCUUUUUUUGCAUUCCUUUGUUCCCUUGUAUUGUGUUUUGAACCGGCAAUCGAAUAAAAUAAUAUGCUGACGACUAUUCUAGGUUUCUUUAUUUCAUCCAUUCUUUUACUGAUCUUCAGGCAUGCUGCUGUUUUGAAGAAAUCAUCGAACACUAUGAUGGGGUUAGCUACUUUUAUUGGCCUUGGAUGGAUCUAUAUAGCAAGCAAUAUGUAUCCAGAUGGUAGCGCAAGUUGCUGUAACUGCCAUUGCCAUGGUUCAAAACCUGAGGUGCAACAAAAUUAGGAGCUGCAAAUACUAUGGGGCGGCCAUUAUUUGUUUUGUGAGAGGGAGUCUAACCUGCUGUACUCCUAGAAGACACCUGCACUGUCUUCCAGAUGCAUGCUUGUAAUAAUAUUUAUUGGGAAAUUUUAUGCUCGUUCCGACCUGGAGCUCGUACAUUUGAUUGCUGCACUAGCUAGGGAGUCGGACAAGAACAUGCUUGGCCUGGUCUCACCGAUGGCUCGCUAGAGGCCAGGGUGAACACAUGGAGCACCAUGCAGUACUGGUAUCUUCGUUUCUUCUAUCUGCUAUAUACUCACAUCAAUUUACUUUUUA